UCAGAUCACCAACAUGUUCUCUGUAGCUUUUCUGUUGCUACUGGCUGCUGGAUCCUAUGUGAAGUGUGAGCAGCUGACCCAGCCAGCCUCUGUGACUGUGCAGCCUGGUCAACGUCUGACCAUCAGCUGUCAGGUCUCUUAUUCUAUGAGCACCUAUGCAACAGCUUGGAUCAGACAGCCUGCUGGGAAAGGACUGGAGUGGAUUGGGUGGAAAUAUACUGGAGGUUCAUACUACAAAGAUUCACUGCAGAACAAAUUCAGUAUCGACUUAGACACUUCCAGUAACACAGUGACUCUAAAUGGACAGAAUAUGCAGCCUGAAGACUCUGCUGUGUAUUACUGUGCCAGAGACUCACAGUGACACAAACCAGCUGCAGAGCUGAACAAAAACCCAUCAGAACAUAAACAGAUUAUAUCAAACCACCAGGACUUUUUAGUUCAUUUUUCAUCCGUGGAAACUUUGUCAACCUUAUUUUACUCUUUUGUAAAAACUUUGUAGAAAUACAUCCUUACAACAAAAAUAUAGUUUUUGUCUCAUUUUUUAUACGUGUAAUUAAAAU
This is a non-coding RNA of Xiphophorus hellerii (green swordtail), 560 nucleotides long. Lineage: Eukaryota; Metazoa; Chordata; Actinopteri; Cyprinodontiformes; Poeciliidae. The record is from the annotation of a RefSeq genome assembly.